GACUAGUGAUUCUGUUGUU
This 19-nucleotide microRNA is filed under the name Plutella xylostella (diamondback moth). RNAcentral's name for it is "pxy-miR-7a". Its record names the gene pxy-miR-7a. The record is from miRBase by way of RNAcentral. Lineage: Eukaryota; Metazoa; Arthropoda; Insecta; Lepidoptera; Plutellidae.